UAAAGCAAGAAAGGGCGUAUGGGGAAUGCCUAGGCACACUCCGGCGAAGAAGGACGCAGCAAACAGCGAAAUGCGACGGUGAGCGGUAAGCACGUGAAGAGCCGUCGAUAUCCGAAUGGGGGAACCCACACGGAGUCAUAUCCGUGUAUCACAUGUCGAAUACAUAGACAUGAUGAGGCGAGACGCAGGGAACUGAAACAUCUAAGUACCUGCAGGAAGAGAAAAUAAGAAUGAUUUUCUGAGUAGCGGCGAGCGAAAGGGAAAGAGCCCAAACCGAUCUGAGGAUCGGGGUAGUAGGAUCAUCGAUAAAUCAAACAGAGGAUCAUAGAGGAAUCACAUGGGAAGGUGAGCGAGAGAGGGUGAGAGCCCCGUACUCGAAAUGAGAGACUGGAGAGAGAUGACACCUGAGUAGGGCGGGACACGAGAAAUCCUGUCUGAAUCAGCCGGGACCAUCCGGCAAGGCUAAAUACGAGAGAGUGACCGAUAGUGAACCAGUACCGUGAGGGAAAGGUGAAAAGAACCCCGGGAGGGGAGUGAAAGAGAACCUGAAACCAUAUGCCUACAAGAAGUCAGAGCCCGUUAAAGGGUGAUGGCGUGCCUUUUGUAGAAUGAACCGGCGAGUUACUGUAUGGAGCGAGGUUAAGCAGGAUAUGCGGAGCCGAAGCGAAAGCGAGUCUUAAGAGGGCGCGAGUUGCAUGCAGUAGACCCGAAACCGGGUGAUCUAGCCAUGACCAGGUUGAAGUUGGGGUAAAACCCGAUGGAGGACCGAACCGACCCCCGUUGAAACGUUGGCGGAUGAGUUGUGGCUAGGGGUGAAAUUCCAAUCGAACCCGGAGAUAGCUGGUUCUCCCCGAAAUAGCUUUAGGGCUAGCGUCGAGAGAAGAGUUGCGUGAAGGUAGAGCACUGAAUAUGUGAUGGCCCCAUCUCGGGGUACUGAGCAUAAUCAAACUGCGAAUGUCACGCCAACAUGCUCGGCAGUCAGACAGCGGGUGAUAAGGUCCGUUGUCAAGAGGGAAACAGCCCAGACCAUCAGCUAAGGUCCCAAAAUGUAUGCUAAGUGGAAAAGGAUGUGGAGAUGUACAGACAACUAGGAGGUUGGCUCAGAAGCAGCCAUCCUUUAAAGAGUGCGUAACAGCUCACUAGUCGAAUGACUCUGCGCCGAUAAUUUACCGGGGCUAAGCAUACUACCGAAGCUAUGGAUCCCAAGGGAUGGUAGGGGAGCGUUCCAUGAACGGAGAAGUACGACCGAAAGGACGUGUGGAGAUCAUGGAAGAGAGAAUGCCGGUGUGAGUAGCGGAACGUGGGUGAGAAUCCCACGCACCGAAAACCCAAGGUUUCCAGAGGAAGGUUCGUCCGCUCUGGGUAAGUCGGGACCUAAGGCGAGGCCGAAAGGCGUAGUCGAUGGACAACAGGUAGAGAUUCCUGUACCCGUAUAUAUGUGAAGGAAUGACGGAGAGAGGAAGCUGCAGCCAGCGGCUGGAAGAGCUGGUGCAAGCGAGAUAUCGGGAUGGCAGGCAAAUCCACCAUCCGAAACGAGAAGGCGUGAAGCGUACGGAAAGCUACGGCGAGUACGGAAGGCAGUGGAGGAACUUCCAAGAAAAGUUUCUAACGUUAAGUAUAUAUGGCCCGUACCGAAAAUGGACACACAUGGGUGAGGAGAGAAUCCUAAGGUGAGCGAGAGAACUAUAGCUAAGGAACUCUGCAAAAUGACUCCGUAACUUAGGGAGAAGGAGUGCUCAUAGAGAUAUGAGCCGCAGUGAAACGGCCCAAGCGACUGUUUACCAAAAACACAGCUCUCUGCUAAGCCGCAAGGCGAAGUAUAGGGGGUGACGCCUGCCCGGUGCUGGAAGGUUAAGGGGAGGGGUUAACGCAAGUGAAGCCCUGAACUGAAGCCCCAGUAAACGGCGGCCGUAACUAUAACGGUCCUAAGGUAGCGAAAUUCCUUGUCAGGUAAGUUCUGACCCGCACGAAAGG
Molecule: ribosomal RNA, 1974 nt
Filed under: human gut metagenome
Description: bacterial LSU rRNA
Rfam family: Bacterial large subunit ribosomal RNA
Source: RNAcentral